CCUACGGGUGGCAGCAGUGAGGAAUCUUGGUCAAUGGGCUUACGCCUGAACCAGCCAAGUCGCGUGAGGGAAGACUGCCCUAUGGGUUGUAAACCUCUUUUGUCAGGGAGCAACGCCGGCUACGUGUAGCCGGACUGAGAGUACCUGAAGAAAAAGCAUCGGCAAACUCGGGGCCGGCAGCAGCGGUAAUACGGAGGAUGCGAGCGUUAUCCGGAUUUAUUGGGUUUAAAGGGUGCGUAGGCGGAAUGCAAAGUCAGCGGGAAAAUCGCGGGGCUCAACCUCGCUCAGCCGGUGAAACUGGCGUUCUUGAGUGGGCGAGAGGUAGGCGGAAUGCGUGGUGUAGCGGUGAAAUGCAUAGAUAUCACGCAGAACUCCGAUUGCGAAGGCAGCAUACCGGCGCCCAACUGACGCUGAAGCACGAAAGCGUGGGUAUCGAACAGGAUUAGAUACCCGUGUAGUC
RNAcentral lists this ribosomal RNA (460 nucleotides) under uncultured bacterium. Its description in RNAcentral is "partial 16S ribosomal RNA". It matches the Rfam family "Bacterial small subunit ribosomal RNA", at positions 338 to 795 of the family's 1533-position model. The record is from RNAcentral.